This 515-nucleotide ribosomal RNA is filed under the name uncultured bacterium. RNAcentral describes it as "partial 16S ribosomal RNA". It matches the Rfam family "Bacterial small subunit ribosomal RNA", at positions 28 to 523 of the family's 1533-position model. The record is from RNAcentral.
GAUGAACGCUGGCGGCGUGCCUAAUACAUGCAAGUCGAGCGAAUGGAUUAAGAGCUUGCUCUUAUGAAGUUAGCGGCGGACGGGUGAGUAACACGUGGGUAACCUGCCCAUAAGACUGGGAUAACUCCGGGAAACCGGGGCUAAUACCGGAUAACAUUUUGAACCGCAUGGUUCGAAAUUGAAAGGCGGCUUCGGCUGUCACUUAUGGAUGGACCCGCGUCGCAUUAGCUAGUUAGUGAGGUAACGGCUCACCAAGGCAACGAUGCGUAGCCGACCUGAGAGGGUGAUCGGCCACACUGGGACUGGGACACGGCCCAGACUCCUACGGGAGGCAGCAGUAGGGAAUCUUCCGCAAUGGACGAAAGUCUGACGGAGCAACGCCGCGUGAGUGAGGAAGGCUUUCGGGUCGUAAAACUCUGUUGUUAGGGAAGAACAAGUGCUAGUUGAAUAAGCUGGCACCUUGACGGUACCUAACCAGAAAGCCACGGCUAACUACGUGCCAGCCGCCGCAGUAA